UGUCCAGACUCCUACGGGAGGCAGCAGUGGGGAAUAUUGCGCAAUGGGCGAAAGCCUGACGCAGCGACGCCGCGUGAGGGAUGAAGGUCUUCGGAUCGUAAACCUCUGUCAGCAGGGAAGAACGGUCACUGUGCUAAUCAGCAGUGAAUUGACGGUACCUGCAAAGGAAGCACCGGCUAACUACGUGCCAGCAGCCGCGGUAAUACGUAGGGGGCAAGCGUUGUCCGGAUUUACUGGGUGUAAAGGGAGCGUAGGCGGUUUAGCAAGUCAGAAGUGAAAGCCCGGGGCUUAACUCCGGGACUGCUUUUGAAACUGUUGAACUAGAUUGCAGGAGAGGCAAGUGGAAUUCCUAGUGUAGCGGUGAAAUGCGUAGAUAUUAGGAGGAACACCAGUGGCGAAGGCGGCUUACUGGACUGUAAAUGACGCUGAGGCUCGAAAGCGUGGGGAGCAAACAGGAUUAGAUACCCGAGUA
RNAcentral lists this ribosomal RNA (472 nucleotides) under uncultured bacterium. Its description in RNAcentral is "partial 16S ribosomal RNA". It matches the Rfam family "Bacterial small subunit ribosomal RNA", at positions 328 to 792 of the family's 1533-position model. The record is from RNAcentral.